UAGGUAGGUUAUUGCUGUUUGCGAGUAUCCAGGAGAGAGCAAAACAAGGCAUUCUUUACCAACAUGGCGGGAUAAAUGAUGCUGAUGAUGAUCAAGCUCUGAUGGACGCUACGGACAUCCAACCAUCUUUGAAGCGCACUCCACGGCUAGGGUUCGGAAUUCUGGGACGACGGCGGCCGCCACGCACAACUCAGCGGUAACCCUCAAUCGUUCUCUUCCUUUCGUCUACGGAGUUUGGACCCUCAGAAUAUUGCGUGUUUUCGUCGUAUUGAUACUACAUCUCAUCUGAUUGAUCUUGCUGCGUAUUUCAUCGAAUUAUCUGGUCGUCUUCGAGCCCGUCCGAGAUCUUCGAGAAGCCUGUCAAGAAGUUGAAGACGCCCCAAAGCGACCGCAAGAUCUGCGUCAAGCAAAUCGAACUGUUGACGUUACUGAAAUGUGGUGAGCUCGGAAGCAGGAAUUGGAGUUGGAAGCUAAGCUUGAGGAUAGAUCCAAGAAACACAGACGCAAAAGUAGGGGCGGGAAGCAUCACACAAAUUCACCACAUAUGGGUUUCUAGCUCAAGGCACAAGCAGGAGAACAAGAAAACUGCCAUCCCAUGGCCAUCAAGCAAACAAGAUCCGGAAGACUGCUGCACGCAUGAAGAUGAUGGUCUUAGAGACACACAAGUCGAAGAGUUUCUUCACUCGAGGUUCAAGAAUGGGAUGAAGCUGGUCCAUAUCUUUCACAGACAUGUUCUGAUCAAGAUGGUGACUCGCCAAGUCAUGAUGUGCGGGUGAAGGAAGAAUGGGAAAACCAUGUUAUUGGCCCUGAGAUUCUGAUGAAUUCUGAUAGUGAGUCAAUAACAUGGUUUCUCUUCCCAAGAUGGUUCAAGAAUGGGAUGAAGCUGGUCCAUAUCUUUCACAGACAUGUUCUGAUCAAAGAUGGUGACUCGCCAAGUCAUGAUGUGCGGGUGAAGGAAGAAUGGGAAAACCAUGUUAUUGGCCCUGAGAUUCUGAUGAAUUCUGAUAGUGAGUCAAUAACAUGGUUUCUCUUCCCAAGAUGGUGAGAAACCAACCUACUUGUAAUGAUUCUGAUGCAGAAACUAGGUUGUGCCGGACAAGGAGUUCAAGAAAGUGUCAUUCCAAGAAAAGGAGAUCGAAGGAAGAGAAACUAGGAAAAAGACAAAAGGACAGAAAAGAGAUCCUAAAAGCUGAAGAACACAGGAUUGAUGUAUAAAGGUGAGAUAUAACUUACUCAAACGUUCUUGUAGAAUUAAAAAAAAAAGUAAUGAUUUCACGCAUUUGAUGGAUCAUCCAAGUUACAUCAGACCUUCUCAUGUGGUGCAUCAGUGAAUAAUGAGAAAUCAAUAAUCAAUA
Musa acuminata AAA Group (dessert banana) is the source of this 1355-nucleotide RNA transcript. RefSeq lists it as uncharacterized. The transcript is spliced from 5 exons. The record is from RefSeq and is a predicted model, not a curated record. Lineage: Eukaryota; Viridiplantae; Streptophyta; Magnoliopsida; Zingiberales; Musaceae.